Molecule: ribosomal RNA, 526 nt
Filed under: uncultured bacterium
Lineage: Bacteria
Description: bacterial SSU rRNA
Rfam family: Bacterial small subunit ribosomal RNA
Source: RNAcentral
AAUAGAUACCCAGGUAGUCCACGCUGUAAACGAUGAUCACUAGAUGUUAGUCUUGCUUUGCGAGAUUGGUGUCUGAGCUAACGCGUUAAGUGAUCCGCCUGGGGACUACGGUCGCAAGGCUAAACUACAAAGGGAAAUUAGGACGGGGGCCCGCACAAGCGGUGGAACAUGUGGUUUAAUUCGACACUACGCGAGGAACCUUACCUAGGCUUGACAUGUACUUGACAGCCGUAGAGAUACGGUCUUCCGGGCUUCGGUUCGGACAGGUACACAGGUGCUGCAUGGCUGUCGUCAGCUCGUGUCGUGAGAUGUUGGGUUAAGUCCUUUAACGAGCGCAACCCCUGCUGUCAGUUGCUAUUUGCGUAAGCAAAGCACUCUGAUGGGACUGCCUGGGAAACCAGGAGGAAGGUGGGGAUGACGUCAAGUCAUCAUGGUCCUUAUGUCUAGGGCUACACACGUGUUACAAUGGCCAGUACAAAGGGCUGCAAAUUCGUAAGAGUGAGACUAAUCCCAAAAAGCUGGUCUU